UGGUGGAGAAGGAGGGUGCUAAAAAAUAUUGCUAUGCGACUCUUUGAAAACACCGAUAAAAGAUCGCGAAGACUCCUUCUACUUUAAGUCUCUUAGGCACCACUUAUAUUAGAUAAUUUUUUGGUUUUUAAACACUUAAGGAAGGAGUUCACACAUGUAAAAAUUUGAAAAUAAUCUGAUCAAUGGAUAUAUGCUUAUCACAUCUUUUAUUUGGUGCGCGCGAGAGAAGAAUAAAAUGUUGUAUUUGAUAAGAGAGUUUCACCUGCAGAAGGACUCUUAUC
Molecule: long non-coding RNA, 281 nt
Filed under: Elaeis guineensis (African oil palm)
Lineage: Eukaryota; Viridiplantae; Streptophyta; Magnoliopsida; Arecales; Arecaceae
Description: long non-coding RNA (EGUI_LNC042381)
Source: RNAcentral